Amaranthus tricolor (Joseph's coat) is the source of this 620-nucleotide long non-coding RNA. RefSeq lists it as uncharacterized. The record is from RefSeq and is a predicted model, not a curated record. NCBI's taxonomy places the organism in Eukaryota, Viridiplantae, Streptophyta, Magnoliopsida, Caryophyllales, Amaranthaceae. The transcript has 3 exons.
CAUCUCACUCUCUAUAAAACUUUCUUUCUCCCAAAUACUUUAAUUUCUUACAUACAAAAUUAUUACAUUUACAUUAUCUCUCAAAAUUAACAAGUAUUCUUUACAAUAUUAAGAACUUCAAUUGCAAAAGGAAUUCCUUUAUGUAAACAUGGUGUUCAUGCUAAAUUACAAGUAGUCAAAAAUGGAGCAAGGGUUGGUGAGAGGUUUUACGGAUGUGCAUUUUGGCCAGCACAAGAUUGCAAAUUUUUUAAGUGGGAAAAAGAUGUAGAGUAUACAAGUGAAAUUUCUUCUUGUUUGGAAGAAGAGAAAGCUAUGUUGAUUGGCAAAAUAAGGAAAUUGAAGGCUAAGAAUGCGAAGUUGAAAGAAAGCGAAGCUAUGUUGAAAUUGAAAGUUGUUGAAUAUGUAAACGCACAUAAAGCGUUAAGUUUUGUACUUGUUGCAUCAUGGGUUUUAUUUGUAUUGUUCUUAUUUAUGUCAAGCUAAGUUUAAGAAUUUGGUCAUGUAAUGGAACUUUAUGUAUUGAAAAUCCAAUGUUUUUGAUAAUUUUCAAUAAUUACCUUUACAUACAUAAGCAUUUGUUACACACAAAAGAGCUAAAACCCUUACAUACAUAAUUUUCA